Unclassified non-coding RNA from Cebus imitator (Panamanian white-faced capuchin), 96 nucleotides. It matches the Rfam family "Y RNA". From Rfam's summary of the family: Y RNAs are components of the Ro ribonucleoprotein particle (Ro RNP), in association with Ro60 and La proteins. Lineage: Eukaryota; Metazoa; Chordata; Mammalia; Primates; Cebidae. The record is from Ensembl.
GGCUGGUCCAAUGGUAGUGGGCUAUCAGAACUUAUUAACAUUAGUGUCACUAAAGUUGGUAUACAAUGCCCCACUGCUAAAUUUGACUGGCUUUAA